CAGUAGCCGCGGUAAAACGUAGGUGGCAAGCGUUGUCCGGAUUUAUUGGGCGUAAAGCGAGCGCAGGCGGUUUCUUAAGUCUGAUGUGAAAGCCCCCGGCUCAACCGGGGAGGGUCAUUGGAAACUGGGAGACUUGAGUGCAGAAGAGGAGAGUGGAAUUCCAUGUGUAGCGGUGAAAUGCGUAGAUAUAUGGAGGAACACCAGUGGCGAAGGCGGCUCUCUGGUCUGUAACUGACGCUGAGGCUCGAAAGCGUGGGGAGCGAACAGGAUUAGAUACCCGAGUAGUCCCUGUCUCUUAUAA
RNAcentral lists this ribosomal RNA (301 nucleotides) under uncultured bacterium. Its description in RNAcentral is "partial 16S ribosomal RNA". It matches the Rfam family "Bacterial small subunit ribosomal RNA", at positions 509 to 809 of the family's 1533-position model. The record is from RNAcentral.